This 912-nucleotide ribosomal RNA is filed under the name uncultured archaeon. RNAcentral's name for it is "bacterial SSU rRNA". It matches the Rfam family "Archaeal small subunit ribosomal RNA", at positions 28 to 921 of the family's 1478-position model. The record is from RNAcentral.
UCAUAUUGGGUAGGACUAAGAAUGCUAGUCAGCGCUCGCCAGCUAAAGGUGAGCGCGGCGCACAGCUCAGUAACACGUGGCUAACCUGCCCUCGGGACGGGAAUACCCCCGGGAAACUGGGGCUAAUCCCCGAUAGGUGAAGAACUCUGGAAUGAGUCUCCGCCCAAAAGACGCUUGCGCUAUGCUCGUAGACGUCGCCCAAGGAUGGGGCCGCGACCGAUCAGGUAGUUGGUGAGGCAAAGGCUCACCAAGCCUUUAACCGGUGCGGGCCGUGAGAGCGGAAGCCCGGAGAUGGGCACUGAGACAAGGGCCCAGGCCCUAUGGGGCGCAGCAGGCGCGAAACCUCUGCAAUGGGCGAAAGCCUGACAGGGUUACUCUGAGUGAUUUCCGCUAAGGAGAUCUUUUGGCAGCUCUAAAAAUGGUGCAGAAUAAGGGGUGGGCAAGUCUGGUGUCAGCCGCCGCGGUAAUACCAGCACCCCGAGUGGUCGGGACGAUUAUUGGGCCUAAAGCAUCCGUAGCCGGUUGUGCAAGUCCUCCGUUAAAUCCAGCCGCUCAACGGAUGGGCUGCGGAGGAUACUACAGGACUAGGAGGCGGGAGAGGCAAGCGGUACUUAGUGGGUAGGGGUAAAAUCCUUUGAUCCAUUGAAGACCACCAGUGGCGAAGGCGGCUUGCUAGAACGCGCCCAACGGUGAGGGAUGAAAGCUGGGGGAGCGAACCGGAUUAGAUACCCGGGUAGUCCCAGCUGUAAACGAUGCAUGCUAGGUGUUUGGGCGGCCACGUGCCGCUCUAGUGCCGCAAAGAAGUUGUUAAGCCUGCCGCCUGGGGAGUACGGCCGCAAGGCUGAACUUAAAGGAAUUGGCGGGGGAGCACCACAAGGGUGAAGCUUGCGGUUUAAUUGGAGUCAACGCCGG